GGGGGGGGGGGGGGGGGGGGGUGGGGGGGGGGGGUCGGGGGGGGGGGGCCGGGGUGGUGGGGGGGUGGGUGGGGGGCGGGGGGGUAGGGCGUGAGUAACCUGCCCUUGACUCUGGGGUAGGCCUGGGACACUGGGUCUAAUCCUGGAUAUGGCUUCGCAUCGCAUGGUGGGGGGGGUGCAGAUUUAUUUGUCUUGGAUGGACUCGCGACCUAUCAGCUUGUUGGUGCGGUUAUGGCUGCCCAAGGCUACGACGGGUAGCCGGCAUGAGAGGGUGACCGGCCACACUGGGACUGAGACACGGCCCAGACUCCUACGGGAGGCAGCAGUGGGGAAUAUUGCACAAUGGGCGCAAGCCUGAUGCAGCGACGCCGCGUGAGGGAUGACGGCCUUCGGGUUGUAAACCUCUUUCAGUAGGGAAGAAGCGAGAGUGACGGUACCUGCAGAAGAAGCGCCGGCUAACUACGUG
RNAcentral lists this ribosomal RNA (466 nucleotides) under uncultured bacterium. RNAcentral describes it as "partial 16S ribosomal RNA". The stretch from base 54 to 466 matches the Rfam family "Bacterial small subunit ribosomal RNA", at positions 39 to 507 of the family's 1533-position model. The record is from RNAcentral.